This 253-nucleotide ribosomal RNA is filed under the name uncultured bacterium. RNAcentral's name for it is "partial 16S ribosomal RNA". It matches the Rfam family "Bacterial small subunit ribosomal RNA", at positions 524 to 776 of the family's 1533-position model. The record is from RNAcentral.
UACGUAGGUGGCAAGCGUUGUCCGGAAUUAUUGGGCGUAAAGGGCUCGUAGGCGGCCAACUAAGUCGGAUGUGAAAUCCCCAGGCUUAACCUGGGAACUGCAUCCGAUACUGGAUGGCUUGAAUCCGGGAGAGGGAUGCAGAAUUCCAGGUGUAGCGGUGAAAUGCGUAGAUAUCUGGAGGAAUACCGGUGGCGAAGGCGGCAUCCUGGACCGGCAUUGACGCUGAUGAGCGAAAGCUAGGGGAGCAAACGGG